UGGACCAACCAAUUGUAGAAU
RNAcentral lists this microRNA (21 nucleotides) under Populus tomentosa. RNAcentral describes it as "pto-smR1". Lineage: Eukaryota; Viridiplantae; Streptophyta; Magnoliopsida; Malpighiales; Salicaceae. The record is from RNAcentral.